RNAcentral lists this ribosomal RNA (433 nucleotides) under uncultured bacterium. RNAcentral's name for it is "partial 16S ribosomal RNA". It matches the Rfam family "Bacterial small subunit ribosomal RNA", at positions 29 to 507 of the family's 1533-position model. The record is from RNAcentral.
AACGAACGCUGGCGGCAUGCCUAACACAUGCAAGUCGAACGAGACCUUCGGGUCUAGUGGCGCACGGGUGCGUAACGCGUGGGAACCUGCCCCUAGGUUCGGAAUAACUCCCCGAAAGGGGUGCUAAUACCGGAUAAUGUCUUCGGACCAAAGAUUUAUCGCCUUUGGAUGGGCCCGCGUUGGAUUAGCUAGUUGGUAGGGUAAAAGCCUACCAAGGCGACGAUCCAUAGCUGGUCUGAGAGGAUGAUCAGCCACACUGGGACUGAGACACGGCCCAGACUCCUACGGGAGGGAGCAGUGGGGAAUAUUGGACAAUGGGCGAAAGCCUGAUCCAGCAAUGCCGCGUGAGUGAUGAAGGCCUUAGGGUUGUAAAGCUCUUUUACCCGGGAUGAUAAUGACAGUACCGGGAGAAUAAGCUCCGGCUAACUCCGUG